Molecule: unclassified non-coding RNA, 117 nt
Organism: Pongo abelii (Sumatran orangutan)
Lineage: Eukaryota; Metazoa; Chordata; Mammalia; Primates; Hominidae
Rfam family: Metazoan signal recognition particle RNA
About the family: The signal recognition particle (SRP) is a universally conserved ribonucleoprotein. It is involved in the co-translational targeting of proteins to membranes. The eukaryotic SRP consists of a 300-nucleotide 7S RNA and six proteins: SRPs 72, 68, 54, 19, 14, and 9.
Source: Ensembl
GCCGGGCAUGGUGGCUCAGGCCUGUAAUCCCAGCACUUUGGGAGGCUGAGGUGGGUGAAUCACUUGAGGCCAGGAGUUCAAGACCAGCCUGGCCAACAUGGUGAAAUCCCAUCUCUA